CUGCUCCGCCUGGCUUUGCUCUGCAGAUGCACGCAGCUCGUGGCCCCUUCCCAAAGGCAGAAAAGCUGGCUUGGCCCAGGGAGGAGGAGGACGAAGCGGCCCCGAAGCUGCUUCACCCGCAGCCUCCUCCCCUUCUCCUGCCGCCGGCAGGAGAAGAGCCAGCUGGGCCCAGGGAGGCGGAGGACGAAGCGGCUCCGAAGCUGCUUCGACCGCCGCCUCCCCCACCUUCUCCACACCCUGCGGGCCGGAUACAUGCCCUCGGGGGACCGGAUCCGCCCCCGGCCCUUAGUUUGGGGACCCCUGCUCUAGAACAUGGCCAUAUAGCCCGAAAAAACCUGCAACCACCCAGUGAUUCUGGCCAUGAAAGCCUUGGAAAAUACAUUGCAAAUUCACUGUUGUGCCACCAGUUUGAAAAGAGCCACUAUCACACUUGCUUUAGGCUUUCUUGUAGUUUAGAUAUUGCACGCAUAUACAUACAGAUGUCUGCCAGUUGGAAAGGCCAAGUAACAGCAAAGACUCUUGCAGUGUGAAUCCUUCUGUCUCUUUUUCUUCUGUUUGGUCUAUUUGCAAAAUACCCCUUGCUCUGUUGGUGAGGAAAAUAUUAUUGGCAACUGAGGGAAGGAAAGGCAGAGGGAAAAAGUGAAAUGGGAGCUAACCUUUCUUUUUCCCUUCCCCAGGGCUCACUGUUCUGCACAGAAGUAAAAUAAAUUUUAGCCUGUUUGAGAACAGAGAGGAAAAGAGACAAGAAGAGGAGGAGAAUCACAUCUACUCAUACCACAUAGUUGCUGGUGUUAGAACUGCAGGAGAAAGCAUACACACCACAUUGGAGGCAGGGGUAGAAAGCAGUGAUAUUUUGAGACAUUGGCAGAUUUUUGCUAUCAGUGAAUUCCACCAAUGAAUUAAUUGCAAAGCAGCAACAGUACAGACAUGACAUCAUGUGGCUGUUUGGAGUAUGGUAACAACCUUACGGAAGUGCCCUUACGUCAUGUGUGGGGGUCCCUUGGGACUGCGAGGGAGGGGGCUCCAUUUCUGCAGUGCAUGGGAACAGAGCCCUACACUUGUCUGAUGAGGUCCUAAGUAGAUGCAGAUUGGCAAGCAUAAGAUUCUUCCAUGGAUAUUAUUUAAAUCAGCUCAAAGAAUACAGACAGUAUUUAAGUCAAAAACUUACCAGGCAAAGAAAUAUAAUUGCAAUCUGCAUACCUAGGACUUAUCAAAUGCAUAAGCAAAAUUGGACUCACCUCAAAUCCAGUGCUGGCUAUCUCCACAAGACAUGGUGACUUUAUGGUGGGCAUGCUGAGUAAACUGUUUUGCCCAGAAGGAUAUCAGCAGGAAUUGAUCAGUUUUUAAAUAUUAAAGCCAUUCAAGAGGAAAACAGAAAAAAAGAGGAAAACAGAAGACAGCAGCAUUCUAUGAAGAGCUGUGAGAUUCAUCUCAAGAAUUUGUUCUUUAACAUUUAGAUUUAUGUUAAAACAUAAAUUAUAUGUAUUGUUAAGAGUAUUUUUGUAACUGAAUAGAAGCACAAAAAUAAAGUAAUUUUUAUUCUAAAUUAC
This is a non-coding RNA of Anolis sagrei ordinatus, 1550 nucleotides long. Lineage: Eukaryota; Metazoa; Chordata; Lepidosauria; Squamata; Anolidae. The record is from RefSeq and is a predicted model, not a curated record.